Molecule: ribosomal RNA, 339 nt
Filed under: Triticum aestivum (bread wheat)
Lineage: Eukaryota; Viridiplantae; Streptophyta; Magnoliopsida; Poales; Poaceae
Description: partial small subunit ribosomal RNA
Source: RNAcentral
AUGACUAGAACAGCGCCAAGUCGUUGCCUCUUUGCACCUGUGAUGUCUUGCGUGGACGCGUUCAAAACUGGAUUUGGAACCUCAAGCGCCAAGUACCGUGAGCCCGAUGAUCUGGGAUGCACCAAGUCCCUCGACGACAAGUACCAAUACGAACGAGAGCGACUACCAUCGGGAUGUACCACUACACGAGGACCGCCAAGUUCGUCUUCCGCCAUCUCCGAAAUCGUCAAGUACCACUAUGAGAUGUGCAACUACUUCCACGACGCAACGAGAACAAGUACCGCCGUUGAAGGCCAUCAAGUGAACAUCUACCCACGACAUGUACGACCUACUCCAUGA